Molecule: ribosomal RNA, 43 nt
Filed under: Lactarius sublaccarioides
Lineage: Eukaryota; Fungi; Basidiomycota; Agaricomycetes; Russulales; Russulaceae
Description: partial 28S ribosomal RNA
Source: RNAcentral
UUGACCUCAAAUCGGGUGAGACUACCCGCUGAACUUAACAAAU